AUUGAACGCUGGCGGCAGGCUUAACACAUGCAAGUCGAGCGGGGAAGGGUAGCUUGCUACCUAACCUAGCGGCGGACGGGUGAGUAAUGCUUAGGAAUCUGCCAUUUAGUGGGGGACAACAUUCCGAAAGGAAUGCUAAUACCGCAUACGUCCUACGGGAGAAAGCAGGGGAUCUUCGGACCUUGCGCUAAAUGAUGAGCCUAAGUCGGAUUAGCUAGUUGGUGGGGUAAAGGCCUACCAAGGCGACGAUCUGGAGCGGGUCUGAGAGGAUGAUCCGCCACACUGGGACUGAGACACGGCCCAGACUCCUACGGGAGGCAGCAGUGGGGAAUAUUGGACAAUGGGCGGAAGCCUGAUCCAGCCAUGCCGCGUGUGUGAAGAAGGCCUUAUGGUUGUAAAGCACUUUAAGCGAGGAGGAGGCUACUUAGAUUAAUACUCUAGGAUAGUGGACGUUACUCGCAGAAUAAGCACCGGCUAACUACGUGCCAGCCGCCGCCGUAA
Molecule: ribosomal RNA, 501 nt
Filed under: uncultured bacterium
Lineage: Bacteria
Description: partial 16S ribosomal RNA
Rfam family: Bacterial small subunit ribosomal RNA
Source: RNAcentral